RNAcentral lists this long non-coding RNA (162 nucleotides) under Ictidomys tridecemlineatus (thirteen-lined ground squirrel). RNAcentral describes it as "lncRNA (ENSSTOG00000031432.1)". The record is from RNAcentral. Lineage: Eukaryota; Metazoa; Chordata; Mammalia; Rodentia; Sciuridae.
CAUUUUUAGGGACAUUUCUUUUCUGUAUGACAUAAAACGUGUGAAAGGAGAGAUUAGAGAGAAUGUAGUUUGUCCUCCACGUAUGGACCGUUCAUUAGAGUCACAUGAUGGUGCCAUGGUGCCUCAUAAGCCAAAGACAUUAACAGAUACUUUGAUUCCUGA